This is a long non-coding RNA of Choloepus didactylus (southern two-toed sloth), 849 nucleotides long. RefSeq lists it as uncharacterized. The transcript is spliced from 3 exons. The record is from RefSeq and is a predicted model, not a curated record. NCBI's taxonomy places the organism in Eukaryota, Metazoa, Chordata, Mammalia, Pilosa, Megalonychidae.
CCCCACGCCUCGCCUGGGCAGCAGCUCCCUUGUUGGGAGGCCCAGGCCAGCAGAGCAGCCCCUUCUGGAAUGCUCCUGGUCACUGGGGUGGAGGGAAGAGAGAGGUCAGCAAAGCAAGCACCAGCUCCAGAGUGAGGUUUGGCAGAGUGGGCUCCGAGGCCUGGCCGCCCGGGGACGAUGAAACAAUCAUGGCUCUACUUCUCCAGGACAUGGGGAAAUCAACAGGAAGUUCUCACCCAUCUCAGUGGUCCUGCUGUCGGAGCACGGCUGCCUUCCUGUCACUACGUCUGUCCCCAGAGAGAAUACAGCUGCAUAGGAUGUUCUCGAAUUAAAGAGAGUUCCUUCUGCGCCUAAAGGGCAAGUAGGCUUAUUGAUCAGGGGUGGAAGUUAAAAUCUCAUUGGAUGAUUUUUCAGCGUCUUUUCUUAAGUUGCCUUGUAUGUAUUUUUCUAACUCCUUAAUACCAUGAAGGAGUGGGCUUAAACACGGGGAUGCACUGGCUCACGGUCUCGAGGCCGGGAGGCGUCCAGAUCCAGGCGUCCUCGAGGGGAUGCUCUCUUCCCAAAGACGUGGCGCCCUGGGGCUGGCUGCGGCCGUCCUCCGUCCUCGGUUUCCGUCACUGGUGAUGCACAUGGCGGCCUCUCCUGCUCCUCUUCCGGGGCCCUGACUUCCAGCCCCUCUCGCCACCUUCCCCACGGGCCCCAGCAACAGGCAAGGCCCGUCCUGGCUGAGCCGGGCCACACCGUAACCGUCACCUCAUCAGCGGGCCCCGCUCACGGGCGCACACCCGCAGGAGCCGACUGAGAGCCAGGACAUGUUUUUCUGGGGUAAAUAAGCCCCAAACUACCACA